This is a long non-coding RNA of Triticum aestivum (bread wheat), 1175 nucleotides long. RefSeq lists it as uncharacterized. The record is from RefSeq and is a predicted model, not a curated record. The transcript has 4 exons. Lineage: Eukaryota; Viridiplantae; Streptophyta; Magnoliopsida; Poales; Poaceae.
CUCUGUGCGAUCACACCUCAAGAUCCAAUCGCCCCAUACUAGAAAAAAAAGAUCCAAUCGCCCCACAUAACUCACCCGCACGUCGCAUCCCCGCAAUCGCCGGCGCCCGCACUGCCACCGUCCCCGGUGCCCGCAACGCCUACCUUCACCAGCCGGCGACCGCAACAGCUCCCUGCUGUUUUCCCCAGGCGACAGCCCACCAAUGCCUCUAACCCCCACACACGCCGGCAACCCGCGCCCCACAAGGUCCUCGGCGACCCACAGGCCACAGCCACCUUCCUCGCACGUCCCUGCCCCUAUCUCCGGCCCUGCCGCUCAUCUUCUGACGGACGCGAGAGCAGGCUGCAGUCCCUGCCGCUCCUCCUCUACUUCCACGAAUCCAUGAAUACUCCUCACCUGUCGCAAGCCAAUCCUCCUCUGGUUGCCAUGGCGGUGGGGGUGAGGGGUGUGUGCGAUAGCGGGAGUUGAGGGAGGAGGAGGUAGAUGUGGUGCGGUGGAGAGAGACCUCCGGCAGAAGUGUGGGAGGAGGCGGCCGUCCGGUGUGGAGUACCACCAUGUUGAUUGUUGAGUACGAGCAGAGCUUGUUCAGAUUGGCAAGAUAGACUCUAGGAUUAUGUGAAUCUCAAGCUUAAUCUGCUGCUUUCAUUGACAAUCGGUCAAUUCUUCUCUCCCUCCUGAAAUCCAUCUUGCGAGUCUGUAUGCUGACUUUGUGGUAUUGUUUAUUUCUUAACUACAGUUUGUGCCUUUGUGGCGUGGUGAUCUAGAGCUAUUUCGAAGAGCUAAUGGACAAGGAUGCUAGAGAGAGACUUGAUGCAGCAAGAGAGACGUCUUUGUGGCUGAACUUGCUUUAGAUGCUGAGAAGAAUGCAAACACAAGGGGAUUUGAGCUGGAGUGAUCAAUGCAUUGUUUGCCAGGACAGUACAGACGAGGAAACAUUAGAGCAAUCACUCUCGCCGGCGUCACGAGAUCUUCCACAAGCUGCUGUUCAGACCUCUGCCUACCACAACGCUCAUACAUACCUUUAUGAUCGAUACUUCGGCGUAAGUUUUCUAUGGCAGGGGCAAAGGGAAAUAUUUCUACGGUGAUGUAACUUUUGAAUGAAAUUCCAUCGAUGGAAAAAGUAAUAAAUGGAAUGAUUUGCUGACCAUGUACAUUUUGAUAAUUUUGUUUGAUCC